CCCGGUGACCAUAGAAGGUUGGCCAUACCCGUUCCCAUCCCGAACACGGUAGUCAAGCAGCCUUCGCCGAUGAUAGUGCUUUUGUGCGAAAGUAGGUUAUUGCCGGGU
Molecule: ribosomal RNA, 108 nt
Filed under: bacterium
Lineage: Bacteria
Also listed under: 1 other name
Source: RNAcentral